RNAcentral lists this ribosomal RNA (341 nucleotides) under Rhysida longipes. Its description in RNAcentral is "eukaryotic LSU rRNA". It matches the Rfam family "Eukaryotic large subunit ribosomal RNA", at positions 686 to 948 of the family's 3401-position model. The record is from RNAcentral. Lineage: Eukaryota; Metazoa; Arthropoda; Chilopoda; Scolopendromorpha; Scolopendridae.
GUUACUCGCAAAGUCUCACAAAACCCUAAGGCGCAAUGAAAGUGAAGGUCAGGCUCAGCACUGACCGAGGCAGGAUCCGUCCGGGUGAGCGAAGCUCUUCUUCCUUUCGUGGGGUAGCAAUGCCUCACGGGGGAGCUCGGCGGCGCACUGCCGGCCCAUCUCGACCGCUUCCCGUCGGCGAGGUGGAGCCAGAGCGCACACGUUGGGACCCGAAAGAUGGUGAACUAUGCUCGGGCAGGACGAAGCCAGAGGAAACUCUGGUGGAGGUCCGUAGCGAUUCUGACGUGCAAAUCGAUCGUCGGACCCGAGUAUAGGGGCGAAAGACUAAUCGAACGUCUAUA